CCUACGUGAGGCAGCAGUGGGGAAUAUUGCGCAAUGGGCGAAAGCCUGACGCAGCGACGCCGCGUGAGGGAUGAAGGUCUUCGGAUCGUAAACCUCUGUCAGCAGGGAAGAACGGUCACUGUGCUAAUCAGCAGUGAAUUGACGGUACCUGCAAAGGAAGCACCGGCUAACUCCGUGCCAGCAGCCGCGGUAAUACGGAGGGUGCGAGCGUUAAUCGGAAUUACUGGGCGUAAAGCGCUCGUAGGCGGUAUGUCAAGUCAAGGGUGAAAUCCCCGCGCUCACCGUGGGAACUGCCUUUGAAACGGGCAAACUGGAGUGUGUGAGAGGAUAGUGGAAUUCCAGGUGUAGGAGUGAAAUCCGUAGAUAUCUGGAGGAACAUCAGUGGCGAAGGCGACUAUCUGGCACAUAACUGACGCUGAGGAGCGAAAGCGUGGGUAGCAAACAGGAUUAGAUACCCCAGUAGUC
Molecule: ribosomal RNA, 465 nt
Filed under: uncultured bacterium
Lineage: Bacteria
Description: partial 16S ribosomal RNA
Rfam family: Bacterial small subunit ribosomal RNA
Source: RNAcentral